CAGCACAGGUGGAGGGCAGUGUCUGAGGGCCUCAUGGGUCCUGGACCUGACUCCUGCACCUGCACAUGGGACAGGACACCUGCAAUAAGAGGGAACAUCCUGAUUCUCCUCAGAGAUGGCCAGGACUCCAGAGUUCAGGUUCUCACAUGUUGUGUGGCUUUUGGGCUAAAACACACCUGAAACACUGAGUGGCUGUUGUCCUUGAUCACUUGAUCAUCAUCUGCAUUUUGGUUGAUGCAUUUUUUUACCUCAUUUGAAUAAAAUAAAAGAAAUUAAUUGAC
Molecule: long non-coding RNA, 281 nt
Filed under: Homo sapiens (human)
Lineage: Eukaryota; Metazoa; Chordata; Mammalia; Primates; Hominidae
Description: HSALNT0379660
Source: RNAcentral